CCUACGGGGGGCUGCAGUGGGGAAUAUUGGACAAUGGGCGAAAGCCUGAUCCAGCCAUGCCGCGUGUGUGAAGAAGGCCUUCGGGUUGUAAAGCACUUUCAGUGGGGAAGAAAGCCUUGGGGCUAAUACCCUCGAGGAAGGACAUCACCCACAGAAGAAGCACCGGCUAACUCCGUGCCAGCAGCCGCGGUAAUACGGAGGGUGCGAGCGUUAAUCGGAAUUACUGGGCGUAAAGCGCGCGUAGGCGGUCUGAUAAGCCGGUUGUGAAAGCCCCGGGCUCAACCUGGGAACGGCAUCCGGAACUGUCAGGCUAGAGUGCAGGAGAGGAAGGUAGAAUUCCCGGUGUAGCGGUGAAAUGCGUAGAGAUCGGGAGGAAAACCAGUGGCGAAGGCGGCCUUCUGGACUGACACUGACGCUGAGGUGCGAAAGCGUGGGUAGCAAACAGGAUUAGAUACCCCAGUCGUC
This 465-nucleotide ribosomal RNA is filed under the name Vreelandella stevensii. RNAcentral describes it as "partial 16S ribosomal RNA". It matches the Rfam family "Bacterial small subunit ribosomal RNA", at positions 338 to 795 of the family's 1533-position model. Lineage: Bacteria; Pseudomonadati; Pseudomonadota; Gammaproteobacteria; Oceanospirillales; Halomonadaceae. The record is from RNAcentral.